AUUGAACGCUGGCGGCAUGCCUUACACAUGCAAGUCGAACGGUAACGCGGGGGCAACCCUGGCGACGAGUGGCGAACGGGUGAGUAAUACAUCGGAACGUACCCAGUAGUGGGGGAUAGCUCGGCGAAAGCCGGAUUAAUACCGCAUACGACCUAUGGGUGAAAGCGGGGGAUCGCAAGACCUCGCGCUAUUGGAGCGGCCGAUGUCGGAUUAGCUAGUUGGUGAGGUAAAGGCUCACCAAGGCUACGAUCCGUAGCUGGUCUGAGAGGACGACCAGCCACACUGGGACUGAGACACGGCCCAGA
RNAcentral lists this ribosomal RNA (305 nucleotides) under uncultured bacterium. RNAcentral describes it as "bacterial SSU rRNA". It matches the Rfam family "Bacterial small subunit ribosomal RNA", at positions 30 to 335 of the family's 1533-position model. The record is from RNAcentral.